Molecule: ribosomal RNA, 253 nt
Filed under: uncultured bacterium
Lineage: Bacteria
Description: partial 16S ribosomal RNA
Rfam family: Bacterial small subunit ribosomal RNA
Source: RNAcentral
CACGUAGGGCGCAAGCGUUGUCCGGAAUUAUUGGGCGUAAAGAGCUCGUAGGCGGUCUGUUGCGUCCGCUGUGAAAACUCGGGGCUUAACCCCGAGCCUGCAGUGGAUACGGGCAGACUAGAGGUAGGUAGGGAGAAUGGAAUUCCGGAUCGUAGCGGUGAAAUGCGCAGAUAUCGGGAGGAACACCGGUGGCGAAGGCGGCAUCCUGGACCAAUUCUGACGCUGAUGAGCGAAAGCCAGGGGAGCAAACGGG